UUAUUACGUUAGCGGCGGACCGGUGAGUAACACGUGGGUAACCUGCCCAUAAGACUGGGAUAACUCCGGGAAACCGGGGCUAAUACCGGAUAACAUUUUGAACCGCAUGGUUCGAAAUUGAAAGGCGGCUUCGGCUGUCACUUAUGGAUGGACCCGCGUCGCAUUAGCUAGUUGGUGAGGUAACGGCUCACCAAGGCAACGAUGCGUAGCCGACCUGAGAGGGUGAUCGGCCACACUGGGACUGAGACACGGCCCAGACUCCUACGGGAGGCAGCAGUAGGGAAUCUUCCGCAAUGGACGAAAGUCUGACGGAGCAACGCCGCGUGAGUGAUGAAGGCUUUCGGGUCGUAAAACUCUGUUGUUAGGGAAGAACAAGUGCUAGUUGAAUAAGCUGGCACCUUGACGGUACCUAACCAGAAAGCCACGGCUAACUACGUGCCAGCAGCCGCGGUAAUACGUAGGUGGCAAGCGUUAUCCGGAAUUAUUGGGCGUAAAGCGCGCGCAGGUGGUUUCUUAAGUCUGAUGUGAAAGCCCACGGCUCAACCGUGGAGGGUCAUUGGAAACUGGGAGACUUGAGUGCAGAAGAGGGAAAGGUGGCAACUUCCAUGGUGUAGCG
This 616-nucleotide ribosomal RNA is filed under the name Bacillus sp. V1R2Y4. Its description in RNAcentral is "bacterial SSU rRNA". It matches the Rfam family "Bacterial small subunit ribosomal RNA", at positions 84 to 680 of the family's 1533-position model. Lineage: Bacteria; Bacillati; Bacillota; Bacilli; Caryophanales; Bacillaceae. The record is from RNAcentral.